CCACCAGACACCACUUCCUUCAUCUUCCCUUAAAAACUCUUCCAGAGAAGCAUCUUCUCCAUUUCUCCCUUUGUUUAUUCUCCUCCUUUUGCUCUCUACCAUCAAAACACCACAUCAUUUCAUCAUUCCUUCAUUAAAAAGUCAUUUCCUUUCAUCCACUACACCACUUCCCAUUCAAACAUCCUCCAUUUCUUCAUUUAAAUAUUCAUCCCAUUCUCU
Molecule: long non-coding RNA, 219 nt
Filed under: Elaeis guineensis (African oil palm)
Lineage: Eukaryota; Viridiplantae; Streptophyta; Magnoliopsida; Arecales; Arecaceae
Description: long non-coding RNA (EGUI_LNC042625)
Source: RNAcentral